GGCAAUUUAGUAAUAUGUAGGCAAAAGGAGGUGCAUUAUUGAUACAAUUGGAUAACUCAGUCUUGACUGGAGGAGGAAUGGUUGUAAUCUACUGAUUGCAGUUUUGUUUGCAAACUGGAACGAUGAUCAUCAUACAAAAUCUUCCGAUUAAUAUCGCUCCCAAUUGCCACCAGAUGUCACCAUGGCCUUGCCGGUGGCGGACAACUGCACAUUUCCUUAAGCCUCUGAAUUGCGCUCCUCUUCAGCAGCAGCUGCUACAAGAAAUCCACCAGGAUGACUCAGGAAUCAUGUGUGACCCUUGCGGAGGAAGAGGAUGGUUACUUUGUGAUUUCUGUCAAGGACAAAAAACCAAUGUCAAAGCUGACAAUAAGCGCAUCUACCGUCGAUGUCCGUCUUGCAGAGCUAUUACAAUGAUGGCGACAAUCCGUCCUCCUGAGCCUACUUACACUGUUAAUGUGAUCAUUUUUGCUCAGAGCUCAGCCUCAAGUGCUCAUUCAAGCUCUAAUGCAGAAUUUGGAAGUACACCAAUGGACGCGGUGCAUGCAUAAAUGCAGCAGCUGUAGAGGGGAAGGACUCCGACGAAGGAGCAUCGUUACAAACAUGAAGAGUUGAAUUGAAACGACACGAGCAUAUAUAUAAUAUGCAUGAUUACAAAAAAAAGAGACACCACCAAGUGAAGCCAAAAUUGGAAGAGUAAGCUAUCUGCACAUAGGGCUUUGAGAUGGGGUGUGGUGAGUGUUGGAUGAGCAGCGUACCAAAGAGCAGUCCUGCGCCAGAUACACGUCUUGUUUCGCCUCCACCAGUUUCAGGAUGGUCUCGAAGACGGGAACCUGACAGGGAAAUGUUAGAACUCCUGCUUGUUGAAAUCCAAAUUCCUCUUCUGCUUCUCUGAGUAAGGUGUGAAAGGCAGGGUGGCCCAAAUAGUGUGUUGGGAUUAUGAAUCUCUUGAGCUCCUCUCCGACGCAAACGGCUAGGUAUCCUUUCGGAACAGCGCCCGCGUUGCUUGAUGUCUCCCGAGCCGAGUUGUUGUCGGAUAAAGAGAGCGUCCUCUUGAGAAACUUGAUGCUUUUACUGCUGCUGUUUGCAGCAUUACUGUUGGGCUUUGAUGAAGUUGCCAGCUUUCUCCAUUUCUUGAGGAUCCUUUGGAGUCUCACAAUUUCUGUGAUCUUGUUGGAAUCCAUUCUGGCUCUUGGAGUGCUUUGAACUUUGAAAAUAGGAGUUGAGGGGCUCAUCAAUCCUGCAUUACUAGUAUUUUUAUAGUAAGAGUCUAAUAUUAUAAAAAUAGAAAAAGGAGUUGGGAGUGAGAUUCCGAGGAAUUAAGAAUGAAUUUCAGUAAUCUGGCAUGACCGACUCAUCUACUAAUAGAAUAGUUUGCAAUACAAAACUACCCCAACAGUCAAAGGCCUCGUACAAACUGUCCUAUGAAUGCGGCAUUGAAAACUUCGAAGCUCCCAUGUGAUAGUAAAUGUUAAAACCUCUGAUUUACUCUCAAUUUGCUAAUCACCUAUCUUUACUUAGCUAAUCAAUCAUUGACACCAUUACUAAAUUAA
Molecule: RNA transcript, 1550 nt
Organism: Mercurialis annua (annual mercury)
Lineage: Eukaryota; Viridiplantae; Streptophyta; Magnoliopsida; Malpighiales; Euphorbiaceae
Exons: 5
Source: RefSeq, a predicted model, not a curated record